CCCCGUUUAUAUAAUUUUAAAAGUUCUAAUGAGACAAGAUGCUCCCCCUCAAUUCAUUGCUCUAAUUUUUCUUGCUCAAUAUUUCUCUCUCCCUUUUUGUCAUCAACAAAAAGAGUCAAACAAGGUUACCACAAUAAUAUCAAUAAUAAAAGUGAUACCACAAAGUUAUAUCAUUAUAAAUGCAAUAAGGAUAAUUAUAAGUAAGCAUGCAAAUGAUAUCAAAAGAUUUAAAAAGGAUCACAUAUUCCU
RNAcentral lists this long non-coding RNA (249 nucleotides) under Elaeis guineensis (African oil palm). Its description in RNAcentral is "long non-coding RNA (EGUI_LNC041605)". Lineage: Eukaryota; Viridiplantae; Streptophyta; Magnoliopsida; Arecales; Arecaceae. The record is from RNAcentral.